CCUACGGGGGGCUGCAGUGGGGAAUAUUGCGCAAUGGGCGAAAGCCUGACGCAGCAACGCCGCGUGCGGGAUGACGGCCUUCGGGUUGUAAACCGCUUUCACCCAUGACGAAGGGUUUCUGACGGUAGUGGGAGAAGAAGCACCGGCUAACUACGUGCCAGCAGCCGCGGUGAUACGUAGGGUGCGAGCGUUGUCCGGAAUUAUUGGGCGUAAAGAGCUUGUAGGCGGUUUGUUGCGUCGGGAGUGAAAACUCAGGGCUUAACCCUGAGCCGGCUCUCGAUACGGGCAGACUUGAGGAAGGUAGGGGAGAACGGAAUUCCUGGUGGAGCGGUGGAAUGCGCAGAUAUCAGGAGGAACACCAGUGGCGAAGGCGGUUCUCUGGACCUUAUCUGACGCUGAGAAGCGAAAGCGUGGGGAGCAAACAGGCUUAGAUACCCCAGUAGUC
This 445-nucleotide ribosomal RNA is filed under the name uncultured Propionibacteriaceae bacterium. RNAcentral's name for it is "bacterial SSU rRNA". It matches the Rfam family "Bacterial small subunit ribosomal RNA", at positions 338 to 795 of the family's 1533-position model. The record is from RNAcentral. Lineage: Bacteria; Bacillati; Actinomycetota; Actinomycetes; Propionibacteriales; Propionibacteriaceae.